UACGUAGGGUGCGAGCGUUGUCCGGAAUUAUUGGGCGUAAAGGGCUCGCAGGCGGUUUGUCGCGUCGGGAGUGAAAACUCAGGGCUUAACCCUGAGCCUGCUUCCGAUACGGGCAGACUAGAGGUAUGCAGGGGAGAACGGAAUUCCUGGUGUAGCGGUGAAAUGCGCAGAUAUCAGGAGGAACACCGGUGGCGAAGGCGGUUCUCUGGGCAUUACCUGACGCUGAGGAGCGAAAGUGUGGGGAGCGAACAGG
RNAcentral lists this ribosomal RNA (253 nucleotides) under uncultured bacterium. RNAcentral's name for it is "partial 16S ribosomal RNA". It matches the Rfam family "Bacterial small subunit ribosomal RNA", at positions 524 to 776 of the family's 1533-position model. The record is from RNAcentral.